Molecule: ribosomal RNA, 253 nt
Filed under: uncultured bacterium
Lineage: Bacteria
Description: partial 16S ribosomal RNA
Rfam family: Bacterial small subunit ribosomal RNA
Source: RNAcentral
UACGGGGGGGGCAAGCGUUGUUCGGAAUUACUGGGCGUAAAGGGCUCGUAGGUGGCCAACUAAGUCAGACGUGAAAUCCCCAGGCUUAACCUGGGAACUGCGUCUGAUACUGGAUGGCUUGAAUUCGGGAGAGGGAUGCAGAAUUCCAGGUGUAGCGGUGAAAUGCGUAGAUAUCUGGAGGAACACCGGUGGCGAAGGCGGCGUUCUGGACUGCAACUGACACUGAGAGACGAAAGCCAGGGGAGCAAACGGG